RNAcentral lists this ribosomal RNA (568 nucleotides) under uncultured archaeon. RNAcentral's name for it is "partial 16S ribosomal RNA". It matches the Rfam family "Bacterial small subunit ribosomal RNA", at positions 341 to 925 of the family's 1533-position model. The record is from RNAcentral.
ACGGGGCGCAGCAGUGGGGAAUUUUGCGCAAUGGGGGGAACCUUGACGCAGCGACGCCGCGUGGGUGAUGAAGGCCUUCGGGUUGUAAAGCCCUGUUGGGGGGGAAGAUAAUGACGGUACCCCCUGAGGAAGCCCCGGCUAACUACGUGCCAGCAGCCGCGGCAAGACGUAGGGGGCGAGCGUUGUCCGGAAUUACUGGGCGUAAAGGGCGUGUAGGCGGCUUUUCAAGUCGGCUGUGAAAUUCCCCGGCUUAACCGGGGGGGUGCAGUCGAAACUGAUGGGCUUGAGUGCAGGAGAGGGUGGUGGAAUUCCCGGUGUAGCGGUGACAUGCGUAGAUAUCGGGAGGAACACCGGUGGCGAAGGCGACCUCCUGGCCUGUUACUGACGCUGAGGCGCGAAAGCUGGGGGAGCAAACAGGAUUAGAUACCCUGGUAGUCCCAGCUGUAAACUCUGGGUACUAGGUGUGGGGGGCUUCGAUGCCCUCUGUGCCGUAGUUAACGCAUUAAGUACCCCGCCUGGGGAGUACGAUCGCAAGGUUGAAACUCAAAGGAAUUGGCGGGGGAGCACA